CUACGGGUCGCAGCAGUGGGGAAUAUUGCACAAUGGGCGCAAGCCUGAUGCAGCAACGCCGCGUGAGGGAUGAAGGCCUUCGGGUUGUAAACCUCUUUUAGCAGGGAAGAAGCGAAAGUGACGGUACCUGCAGAAAAAGCACCAGCUAACUACGUGCCAGCAGCCGCGGUAAUACGUAGGGUGCAAGCGUUGUCCGGAAUUAUUGGGCGUAAAGAGCUCGUAGGCGGUUUGUCACGUCUGCUGUGAAAAUCCAAGGCUCAACCUGGGACUUGCAGGGGGUACGGGCAGGCUAGAGUGCGGUAGGGGAGAUGGGAAUUCCUGGUGUAGCGGUGGAAUGCGCAGAUAUCAGGAGGAACACCAAUGGCGAAGGCACAUCUCUGGGCCGUAACUGACGCUGAGGAGCGAAAGCGUGGGGAGCAAACAGGAUUAGAUACCCUCGUAGUC
This 444-nucleotide ribosomal RNA is filed under the name uncultured bacterium. Its description in RNAcentral is "partial 16S ribosomal RNA". It matches the Rfam family "Bacterial small subunit ribosomal RNA", at positions 339 to 795 of the family's 1533-position model. The record is from RNAcentral.